This is a long non-coding RNA of Asparagus officinalis (garden asparagus), 790 nucleotides long. RefSeq lists it as uncharacterized. NCBI's taxonomy places the organism in Eukaryota, Viridiplantae, Streptophyta, Magnoliopsida, Asparagales, Asparagaceae. The transcript has 2 exons. The record is from RefSeq and is a predicted model, not a curated record.
AGCUCAGAUCUCAAGUUCUCUACUCGACAACAAAUCCCCAAAUCCAUCUCUCUCUCCCCCAAAAAAUCGAUCUCUCUUCCCUCUUGCUCUCGUCGUCGAUCGCUCCCUGCCGACGAAGUUUUUGCUCUCGUCGAUCGAUCCCUGCCGACGAAGUUCGUGCUCUCGUCGAUCGAUCCCUGCCGACGAACUCUCCUGCUCACAAAUCUCGCCGACGAACGCUCUUGCUCACAAAUCUCACCGACGAACAAGUCCUGCUCACAAAUCUAGCCGAUGAACUCCGCCGUCGACCCCCGCCGCCAACUCCUCUAGACGAACUCCGCCAAAUCACAAUAUUGAAAUGGCUUCAUCAUCAACUGUGGAAGGUAACUCAUGUGUUGAAGUUGAUAUUAGAUUCAUAUUGAAACAAUGCGAGUGUGGUGAAUUAGCGGAUGUGAAGAUAACGAAGUCGAACAAGAACAAUAACCGUGGUAGAAUUUACUACUCGUGUAAAAGGCAAAAGUGCGGCUCGUUUUUGGGCUGGUGCAAGAUUUCAUCAGUUGAACAAAUACCACUCGUCAUUGCCCCACCAGAGGCACGUGACUUGGUUGUUGUAUGUGAAAAAGUGUUGUGGAAAAUGGUUAACUGUUAUAGCUUUUUUGUUGUCUUUUUCUUUGGCCAUGAAAGAAAUUAUGUGAUGUGUUGGAAUGAAACAAGACUUUGUAAGUGAGGAAAUUAUGUGUUGUGGAAUCGGUAUUUUGUAAUGCUUCACGCUUUGAUGUGUUGGAAUGAAACAAGUCUGUUAAUUUUUGCU